Long non-coding RNA from Hypomesus transpacificus, 1046 nucleotides. RefSeq lists it as uncharacterized. The record is from RefSeq and is a predicted model, not a curated record. The transcript is spliced from 3 exons. NCBI's taxonomy places the organism in Eukaryota, Metazoa, Chordata, Actinopteri, Osmeriformes, Osmeridae.
GGACCUCUGUGGCUAGUUCGUACAAACGUUCAGUCGUGGACACAGCACGCGUAUGGCUAGCGCGUAGACUUUUUGUUGUACUGAAGUGCAAAGGAAGGAUAAAAACAGGAAGAAACUUCGCUGUAAACUAAGGACAUUAUAGGAAACUGUCUCCUAUGCAUAGGAAAUCUGUGCUCAGUUGAGAAAGUGCCUUUCUCUACUGGUGCAUGUUUAAAUCGGAGGAGAACAUUAGUGCCGUGAGUCGGCCAGACAACUGAUUUCAAAGCUAGCGGCAACACCAGAGCGGAGGCAUGAUUUUGAGACGGAGUUUGGCCGUUGCCGCUAUCAGCCUUCAUGCUUUUUUACUUAGCUUUCUCAUCAAGGUGUCGGAUGCAUCGGGGCAAUUCGAAUUGCAGAUCAUAUCGAUGCAAAACCUGAAUGGAGAGUUGCUGAACGGCCAAUGCUGCGACGGAUCUCGGAACACGGCGGAUCGAAAAUGCACGAGGGAUGAAUGUGAUACCUUUUUCAAAGUGUGCCUGAAGGAAUACCAGUCCAGGGUGUCCGCUGCCGGGCCGUGCAGUUUUGGAGCUGGAUCUACGCCCGUAUUGGGAGGGAAUACAUUUUCUUUGAAGAGUACAGCGAGGAAUGAAAGAUCCAGGAUAGUUUUGCCGUUCAGUUUCGCCUGGCCGAGGUCGUACACGUUAAUAGUGGAAGCCAUGGACUUCAAUAACAACACCAGUGGUGAGUAUCUGUCUUCCUGUCUGUUUCUUUCUUUUCCUGUUGUAGUCCUCUCUCUCUCUCCCCCCUCACUCCAUCUCAUUAACUCUCCGCCUCUCUCUCUCUCUCCCCCUCCCUCUCUCUCAUGUUAACCUUUGGGGUUAGUGUGUUGGAGGCCAAGAAUGGAAGUUUAUUUUUCCUGAACCGCCUGCCCCCUCCCACCUCCCACACAGCCUGGGGAAUGUGUGUGUGUGUGUGUGUGUGUGCAGGGAGUGUGUUGACAGGUGCGUGUGACAGGACAGGGAAGAGGAAGCAGAAGGUAGUACAGUAGUCAAACUGUGUGUGUGUGA